RNAcentral lists this non-coding RNA (30 nucleotides) under Mus musculus (house mouse). The record is from RNAcentral. Lineage: Eukaryota; Metazoa; Chordata; Mammalia; Rodentia; Muridae.
UGUUCUGGUCAGGUGACAUUUUAUGUGACA